AUGGUGCGGAAUUUUUGGUGGGGAUCUUCAGAGGGCAAGAGGAAAACUCACUGGUUGGCAUGGCCAAAAAUUCUGGCGCACAAAUCCCAGGGCGGAUUGGGUUUCAAGGACUUGCGGGUGUUCAACCAAGCUCUUCUCGCGAGACAGGCAUGGCGCUUGCUAACUAAGCCUGAUAGUUUAUGUGCGCAGGUGUUAAAGGCUCGGUAUUAUCCUGAUGGACGCCUUGAGGAUGCGGUAUUUGCGGGAAAUGCUUCGCCUGCUUGGCAGGUCAUCCAGCAUGGCCUCGUGCUCCUGAAGAAGGGCAUCAUCUGGCGUGUCGGGAGUGGACAGAGCAUCUGCAUCUGGCGGGACCGCUGGGUGCCCCGGGAGCCUUCAUGCCAGCCCAUUACACAGCAAGGCACCUGCCGACUGAGACGAGUGGCGGAUCUUCUGGAUGAUGCCGGCGCUUGGCGGAUGGACUUGCUACACCGACACUUCCUCCCGGCAGACAUUGACGCGAUCACCAGUAUUCGGACCUCGCCCCACAUCACCGAUGACAUUAUCGCAUGGGCGCCGGAGAAGAACGGUAUCUUCACCGUUCGAUCCGCCUAUCGCUUCGCCAUGGACGAGCGCGAACGUCCACUGGCUACCGCCACGAGCAGGGCACCGGAUGGUCGUCGCGCCAUCUGGAAGAUCAUAUGGCGGUGCCCUGCCCCCCCCUAA
Molecule: ribosomal RNA, 702 nt
Filed under: Triticum aestivum (bread wheat)
Lineage: Eukaryota; Viridiplantae; Streptophyta; Magnoliopsida; Poales; Poaceae
Description: partial small subunit ribosomal RNA
Source: RNAcentral